Long non-coding RNA from Gastrolobium bilobum, 2013 nucleotides. RefSeq lists it as uncharacterized. The transcript has 3 exons. NCBI's taxonomy places the organism in Eukaryota, Viridiplantae, Streptophyta, Magnoliopsida, Fabales, Fabaceae. The record is from RefSeq and is a predicted model, not a curated record.
AGACACAGUUGACGCAAGUGCAAUCGAAUCAAUUAUAGGAUGGAGUUUUAUUUGUCACAUUUGGGAAGCGCUAGCAUUGAAGCAAUUAUGUUGGUGGUGUUUCUAGACAAUCCCAUUUCUAUCAUCCUCACCCUUCUUCUUCUCAUCUUCUUCUUACGCUUUGCCCUCGUUUUCUUCUUUCUCCUUUUCCUCUUCUUUCUCUGCGCCAACCUUGUUCACCUUAUUGUCGACCUUUUCUCCUACUGAUUCUCACUCCUUUUAUUCCCCCCCAAAACGGAGAUGCGGUGGUGACAGACUGACAGGGUCAACCCUCGCGUGUUUUGAUCCAUCGAUGUUAAGAAAAACAGAAGUUGCUUCUCUCUCCCGUAAACGUGGAUUAAUUUCUGGAAUGGUGAAUUACGAUAGCAGGAAGAUUUUAACGGUCUCGGGGUAAAAAAUUUCAGAGCAUGACUUUUACGUACCAUCCUUCAUGUAAAUUUUGUCCUAUAUUCUAGCUGUGCACCUUAAAUAUCUUCUGAUGGCCAUAGCCUCCAGAAAAAUCCUCAUAUGUUUAUAAUUAUUUGAAGAAUUUUAUCCUUGUGCAUUCUCCUUCCCCUUCCCCACUCUCCCAAAAAGUAAAAAGAAAACCAAAUGGGAUGGACUGCAACUGGAUUGAAAGUAUGCUGGUGAUGUUAUCAUUAUAAUUUUUAUCUAAUAAUCCAUACAUACAUCAAGUAUUUGACAGGAAGUAGGAAUCGUGUAAAACCUCUGUUUUGGCUUCUAGAAAGAAUCUGGUGUUAAAAAAAGGUCUUAGUAUUUCCUAAUAAAUGUGUUUGUUGAUGUUGAUUUUGGGUAGACUAGCCUUCUGCCUUCUAUUCAAACUUUAACAUAAAAGUACUUUAAUUUUGACAAGAUGAGGCCUUUUUUAAACGGGUUUGCACUUUAUAGUCUACAUCACUUAGUACCGUCUGACAUGGCAGUAUGGCACCACCACAAACUACCAUAUAGGAUUCAUGCGAGAUUUUAGGGCAUCCACUUGGUCACAAAAAGAAAGCAAGAUCGUUGAUGGUUGUAAUAGUAAAAUAUCGAAGGCAGUUUGGGUAUUUUUGGAGUUUGUGAUACUGCAUUGACAAUGGUGGCUGCUUAUAAUUAGAGUGGACAUAUUAUAUCACUGCUAAAGGAAUUUUAAACAGUUUGCAGGAGGUGCUCUGUGGUUUAUAUUUCACAGUUCACAUUAUUGAUGAUGGUGGACUUUAAAGUGGUUCUUUGCACUGUAUCACUAUUUCCCCUAAAGGGUUGAAGUUAUGGAUUGAAAUAAAACAAUUUUUUUUCUUCUGUCCGAGCCUCAAAUUGCCUAAAAUUUGUUUGUUCUGCUCCUGUCUGGUGUUUUAAAUGACAUGGUCACGUGGAGAAUUAUAAUCGUAUAAAGGUGGAUCAAUGGUGAUAAAAGAAGAGAAAGAAAAAAAUAUUGAAAUAAUUUAUUACAAAAUUAUAAUCGUGAUUCAUCUUUGUAUGAUUGUGGUCUUUCCACGUGACCAUAAGAUCUAUUUCGGUUUUAAAUAGUGAAUUCAGGGUUUUUGAAGCUGUUUACCAGCUCUUUGCCUUGGUUGAUAAAAUAUGGAGUAACCUGGAGGACUUGGGGUUAAAUAAAGCCAAAGUACUUUCUGUGCAUUUACUGAAAAUAGAAGAUCAUUGACAACUAGGUGAAGGGAGGUUUUUAGGUUGAGAUGGAUCAAACACUCGAAAUGCGAUUCACUUCAUAAUUUCUUAUGAAUUUCGUCUUCCAUCUGAUUUCUUCAAUGCUUUUACAUUGCUGCAGCGGAUUACGUACGUACUUGGGCAUCCAGGUAAAAAGAAAAAGAGCAUCAGUUUGUGAUAUUUCAAGUACAACUAGUUACUAGUGUGUCAGUGUGUGUUUGUAAUGAUUGCUUUUUUAAUGCUUCCUCCUUCGUGACUUUUCAAAAGGAUUUACUACUUACUACUCUGCCUUCCUCCCAAUACAGUAAUAUGCAACUUCGUACUUCCUAGAGUGUA